UGGCAGGUGGUCAGCAGGUAUGUGCCGGCCCUCAACUGGCCGGAGGUCGGGGAGGCGGCCAGCUACUCGUUGAUCGUCCUGACGUUCGUCAU
Molecule: transfer RNA, 92 nt
Filed under: Phytohabitans rumicis
Lineage: Bacteria; Bacillati; Actinomycetota; Actinomycetes; Micromonosporales; Micromonosporaceae
Description: tRNA-Leu
Source: RNAcentral